AUGGCGGCGCCGCCGCCGAUAGACGAGCCUCUGCGGCUGCCGCCUCUCCCGGCGGACACCAUCUUGGAGAUCUUGUCCCGCGUGGGCGACGCUACCGCCGUCGUGCGCUGCGCAGCCACCUGCAAAGCAUGGCGCCGCCUCAUCCUGGAGCCGUCCUUCCUCUCCCGCGGUCGCGCCGGGCGCUCCGACCCCUCCCCUCUCCUCGGCUUCUUCUUCCUGGACACUUCCCAGAAGCUGCCCCGUCGCCGCCUCUACCUCCGCCGCCCCACGCGCUUCCUCCCCCUCGGCCCCUCUCAGUCGCAGGCAACCGCCCUCCCCCUGUCCCACUUCUUGCCGAAGCCGGACGCGGCCGGCCUCAGCGGGUUCGCCCCCGUCACGUCAGGCGCCGGCGGGCUCCUUGCCCUCCGCCGUUCCCCGGCCAGCUCGUGCGACCCCGUCAGGAUCUGCGUCUGCGACCCCGUGGCCGGGACCUCCACCUUCCUCCCCCCUCUCCCGCCCACAACAUCCCCCGAGAACAUCGUCUUCCUCGACGCCGAUGGCUCCUCGUUCCGCCUCCUUGCGGCGAUGGACCGCCCAAAUGGGAUCCGCCUGCGCGUCUUCUCCUCCCAGACCGGGCAGUGGGGCACGGCUGUGACGGCCCAACUUCCUGGUAACAUGGUGGUCCACCUCUGCUCCCCUGCCGUCGUGCACCGUGGUGCCGUCCACUGGAUAUGCGGCACCCGUGCCCUCCCGAAUGCGGUGCACGCACUGGCCGUUCGCCCCGGCCAGGCCGAUGUCUCGGUGUGCCGAUUCGACCUUCCGCUGCGCGCAGGCAUUCACCGCCUGAACCACGCCGCAGAAGCCGUUCGCCUGUUCAGUUCAGCUCAGGGGUGUCUCUCCUUGGUUCUUCUGGAUGAACCUUUGAUCUCCGUCUGGAACUUCAAAGACAAUGGCGCUGAUGGCAGGCCCUGGGAGCUUCACAAGACGGUACAUCUGAUGUCGGUGUUGCCGUCGACAAUCUUUGAUCCUUCUGCGGAGUGGGGGCUCUCUGUCGUAGCAUCGUGCGACCAGAGUGGCUCCUUGUUUUUGCGUGCUGUGGGUGAGGGCGGCCUGUUUGUGCUCAACCUGGAGACGGAGGCGAUGUCGAGGGUACGCAACGACCACUGCGCCAAGUUCCUGUGCCCAUAUGUGGCGAAUCUGAGUUCUUGCCUGGGAGCCAUGAAGAAUUUCUGA
This 1212-nucleotide ribosomal RNA is filed under the name Triticum aestivum (bread wheat). Its description in RNAcentral is "partial small subunit ribosomal RNA". Lineage: Eukaryota; Viridiplantae; Streptophyta; Magnoliopsida; Poales; Poaceae. The record is from RNAcentral.